GGGGAUAACACUUGGAAACAGGUGCUAAUACCGUAUAACACUAUUUUCCGCAUGGAAGAAAGUUGAAAGGCGCUUUGCGUCACUGAUGGAUGGACCCGCGGUGCAUUAGCUAGUUGGUGAGGUAACGGCUCACCAAGGCCACGAUGCAUAGCCGACCUGAGAGGGUGAUCGGCCACACUGGGACUGAGACACGGCCCAGACUCCUACGGGAGGCAGCAGUAGGGAAUCUUCGGCAAUGGACGAAAGUCUGACCGAGCAACGCCGCGUGAGUGAAGAAGGUUUUCGGAUCGUAAAACUCUGUUGUUAGAGAAGAACAAGGAUGAGAGUAAAAUGUUCAUCCCUUGACGGUAUCUAACCAGAAAGCCACGGCUAACUACGUGCCAGCAGCCGCGGUAAUACGUAGGUGGCAAGCGUUGUCCGGAUUUAUUGGGCGUAAAGCGAGCGCAGGCGGUUUCUUAAGUCUGAUGUGAAAGCCCCCGGCUCAACCGGGGAGGGUCAUUGGAAACUGGGAGACUUGAGUGCAGAAGAGGAGAGUGGAAUUCCAUGUGUAGCGGUGAAAUGCGUAGAUAUAUGGAGGAACACCAGUGGCGAAGGCGGCUCUCUGGUCUGUAACUGACGCUGAGGCUCGAAAGCGUGGGGAGCGAACAGGAUUAGAUACCCU
This 661-nucleotide ribosomal RNA is filed under the name uncultured bacterium. RNAcentral describes it as "bacterial SSU rRNA". It matches the Rfam family "Bacterial small subunit ribosomal RNA", at positions 139 to 788 of the family's 1533-position model. The record is from RNAcentral.